AAAUGCUGAAGCGAAGUCAGGCAUGGUCUCGUCUCAUCAUCGGCCGGAGAGAGAAAGUGCGGAGCCCCCCUGAGAGAGUUGUUUACUUGCGACACUGUUUGUGUCUGCGAGGGUGUUCGCAAGAGAAGAAGAGUCUCAGGGUGGGACCGAGGAACACCGGCUGUAGUGGGAACAGGUCCCAAUUCAACUGCCAGCCGCUCCAUAGCUCCGCCUGAGUAUCGUGUGACUAUACUGGACGCCUCAUCUCAUUGCCGAGGUUCAUUGUCCGUGAGGAGCAGUCGGCAUCGGUACCCAGGAGUUCUUGCAAGCGAUCGCGGAGAAUUUCGAUGUUAAAAGAGGACUUCAGUUGCACGCGUUGUAGAGUUUGGCGGCUCUUUGGUGAAUUCUUGGUGUGUCGUUCUGAGAGUUCGGAGAGGUGAUGGAGGCAGAUAGCGUGCGAGUGAGACAAAUGUGAUGACCGAGGCGAGAAAGAUGGCGUGCGGUGAAACGCGGGCUAGACCUUUGAGAUGACGCUUGGAAAAGGCUCGAGGACGACACAGUUUUGAUGAACAGGAUCACCUCGGAUGCAUUGCGUAGAACAUAAGCACUCAUGCUGGAAAGGCAGGAGUCAUUGCCUGGUACUAGUGCGCGGGAUAACCGCGAUACCGAGAUGCUGAGCGACGUUGCUAUGCAAUUCGCUCCUAGAGCCGAGCCGAUGGCUGGAAGGACCAAGAUGGAGCCGUGGUCCCAGCACGAUGAAUAUUCGUUCAUGACGGAGUCGGUGUCUCCUCUAGCUCGUACUCCAGCUUUCUGGGAGCAUGUGAUGCACAACCAAGUGGAGUCUGGCAACUUAUUCUCGAUGACUACCCCGCAUGUGGACACGAGGCUUCAGCCAUCGACUCCCACGUUCUAUUCGUACGGUUGUGAAACUAGUCAAGGUAGUGACAGCACGGGGUCUUCGUACAGCGAUCAGCAAGGAGAGCGCAUCAAGAGGCGGCGUAUGUUGCAGUUCACUGGGGUCAACACAGGCGGUUUUGCGCACGACUCGCCUCUCCCUCACGAGAGUGUCGUCGGCUCGCCUUCAACUACGUACUCUUCGUCAUAUGCGGGCUCUCCUCUUUCUUCAGUUUUCAGUGGCGAUGACUACAUGUUGCAACCCUAUUGCUCGCCUGGCUUGACAACGUCGCCGUGGUUCACGGGAUCUGAUGCUACUACCUCUUUUGUUCUUCCCAAUUCUCAACAGCCUGUUGAAACGUGGUCGUCCCUACCAUCAUUUGAAAAGAAUCAGUCCUACAGUGCUCCGGUGCAAAUAAAUUCUUCGCAGCUUCCAAUGGGUAGUUACAUCCCGAAUUCUCUUGGUGAGAAUUAUUCUCCACAACCUUGGAAACGACCGACACCACUCACGCCACAGUCUAGUUUUUCCCAAAAUUCUAAUUUCUCGCCGAAACAGUUACCACUACAAAUGCAAUUUCAGCAGCCUUUUCAAUAUCAGCAAACUCAACCGCGACUAUUGCAUCCAAAGGCAGAAAAUGGGCAGUUACAAAACCCUCUAAUACCUUUCUCAAAGCCUCCUACUCCUGGUCGGAAGUCGUCUUCAGGUCUGAGUAGAUUCAAAACGAAGUCUUUAAUGCCUAUUGCAUUGCCCUUUGCAAUGCUGAAACCAUCUGCUGCUCAAGGUGAUGUAACAUUGAACGAUAUUAAUAAACUGUUACUCAGCCCUCCACCGACUCCUACAGAUAGACCAUCACCUGUAGAUGAGAAAAGGCCUCGUUCUCCACCAGGAGCGGGUCUCUCUGGAAAAUCUGUUGUUGCAUGUACCAAGAUACACACAGAAGGUGCUGGCACUAUCACCAUCAUGAGGACCAAGGGACCUUUGCAAGCCCAACCGUAGGGAUACAGUGACCUUCAAAGCUGUCCCAAUGUUUAUACUUGUCACAUUCGAAAAACGAUGUCCAACAUUGAAUUUUUUCAUCAAUUUGUCCAUUUUCUUUUGGCUUUCAAUACAACUACUAUUUAUCUAGGCACUGUUUCUAUAAGUCUCUUGUAAUCAUCAACAAUUAUAGAAGAGAAGAUUUCUUCUACACAAGACUAUAAUUCAAGUAUUUCUUUUGGAGGUGUAUUGUAUUGAUUUAAUUUCCAUUUCAAAAUGGCCCAAAGAUUUUCUAUAGGAUUCAAAUCUGGUGACUAAAGAUGCCAAGAUAAAACACUAUUAUGUUGCCUAAAAAUCCAUUGUUUUAUGAGGAGGCUAAGUUAGGACACUAAAAUGUUGCCUAAAAAACCAUUGUUUCAUGCUAUUACUACUAUGUAUAGGUGCAUUAUCCUAUUAAAAUAUAACGUUUUGAUGCAUCUAAAUCAAUUUUUUUAAUUAUACCAUAUAGAUGUUCC
Molecule: RNA transcript, 2364 nt
Organism: Physcomitrium patens
Lineage: Eukaryota; Viridiplantae; Streptophyta; Bryopsida; Funariales; Funariaceae
Source: RefSeq, a predicted model, not a curated record